UGCUGCAAGAUUCGAUGUCACGAAGAAUCUGAAAAUUUUUAUAAAAUUUCUGGAGAACUAAACAAGGCCGAACUUGUGAUAGAAGAACCAGGACGCGCAGCUCGAAACCGGCAUUUGUGUUUCCAGCCCAUCAAAGAAGGCCCAAUACGUGAAAGCCCAGUAAAUUCUGAGUUACUACUCACUUCCGUGUAGGCCUUUUUAUCUCGGAAAAAGUCUACUUUAGGUCCCUCAACGGCGCAAUGGCAAAGGCCAUUGGUUGGGGGGCUCCCACCCAGGGUUCAAAUCCUGGGUGCGGCACUUUAUUCUGGAUUUAUUCCAGAAUUUUCCGGCGCUAUGCAUUAAGUGGUAGGCGACGUGCCCGUCGACAGCGAGGCGCCUGUGGUGACUUCGUAAACUUCAAGAUUUGCUGGCUCAGUGCUUCGAAGGUGCUCAUAGGGGUAGGGUUUGCGUACGUGUGUUCAUAGGGAUGAGUGUGCGUGCGUGUUGAGUGUCUGCGUUGUACUGUGUAAUCUAAAAAAAAAAAAACUUUCGCGAAAGUCUGAUUUUCAUCCUUGAACUCUAAAAUCGGAUAAAAUACAUCCCUCAACUUUUAAACCGUACACAUUACAUCCUUGACCUGGUUUUGAAAGCGGUUUUACCUUUUUCUUUUUAUUUAUUUUGUCUAAAUUUUUUUGAAAAAUCACAGUAAAUCACAUAAAAAUCAUAAAAUAGAAAACUCAAUUUUGUUAGACUUU
Molecule: long non-coding RNA, 734 nt
Filed under: Sorghum bicolor (sorghum)
Lineage: Eukaryota; Viridiplantae; Streptophyta; Magnoliopsida; Poales; Poaceae
Description: long non-coding RNA (SBIC_LNC017038)
Source: RNAcentral